RNAcentral lists this long non-coding RNA (14537 nucleotides) under Vitis vinifera (wine grape). RNAcentral's name for it is "long non-coding RNA (VVIN_LNC000155)". Lineage: Eukaryota; Viridiplantae; Streptophyta; Magnoliopsida; Vitales; Vitaceae. The record is from RNAcentral.
GUCGAUAUGUGAUUUUAACUAGAUGGAAGGGCACAAGUUGCCCGCAAUUCUUUAUUGUCCAAUACUAAAUAUAGGUCAACAUUAAAAGAACUCACAAUUAUACAUAAGAAAAGUAAAAUUAUUUAAAAUGGACAAAGUACUUAUUGAAGUGUUUACAAAAAUUAGAAUAAAAUAUUUAGAGAUGAUAUUUAAUCAAAAUAAAAAUUAGACAUCAUCCUCUAAGUGUCUAAAAUGUAAUCCAAGUGUUAAAAUACUUUAAUAAAUCAUCCAUCACUCCAAAUUAAAUCAAAUUUGUCAUCAUCUUCAAAACAUUCAACAUGGUGGAACAUGAGAGCAUACAAGAUAAAUCUGAAAAAAAAAAAACCUAAUUACAAACUAAAAAGCCAAAAUAUUAAACUAUGUGUCAAUCAAUACCAAAUUAAUUGACAUUAAGAACACUUUACAGAAUAAUUAACAUCGAUAAUAAUAGAGAUACUUGCAAAAUAAAUCCUAAAAAAAUAUCUAGAGACGAAAUUUUACCAUGAAAAAAGGGACAACAUCUACUAUGUGUCUAGAAUACAACUAAAAGGCCAAAUCAUUAAAUUAUGUCUAGUUUAAUAUCAUGUUUAAUCACAAGCACAUUGAUAAGAAAUAGUGUAGAUUUCAAUAGCAAAUCAAAAUAGAUUUAUUUGACUAAUUUAGAAGUAUGAUAAAAUCAAGAAAAAAAAUGUACAAACCCUCAAUAUAUCUACCUUAUAGGAAAAAUAACAACGUGAUUUAAUCACACAAGAAGUUUUAAAACAAGCCAAACAUCCCUUGACUACAAAAUGGGGUUAGUGCAACAUGUGUAGAAUUUUUUUUUUCUCUCCCUUUGGGGGAAUCGGUUUUCAACAAAACAGGGUCCUAAAAUUAAAUUCAAGAAAUUUGAUUAAGGAAAAAAUAUAAAAAAUAAAAAUAAAAAUUUAAGAGGUUAUCAAAUAAUUUAAUUUUGCAAAACGAGUGUGGGUGUCUAGAACAUAGUGAAAAAUGAGCAUAUUGAAAGAUUGGUUUAUAUCUCUUUAAUGGAAAAUGACUUUGGACUUGAGCAAAAUUCUAUCAACACAUUUGGGAAAUUUAAAACGUCAUACAAUGAUAAGAAAAUUUUAGAAAGACUUUAAAUAACUUGAAUCAAAAUUUUCAUUAUAGAAGUUCAACAAUUCAAACAAAACUACAACAAAGUGAACAAUCUAAACAUCACAAUAAAAAAAAAAGACUGAAAAAAAGAUCAAAGGCAAUAAAAAUCAAAUAGAGGAUUUCUUAGCCACCUAUCAUAUAUUAUCAAUAGACCUCAAUCAAGUGAGAAUAAUUUCAAAGAAAAUAAUCCUAAUAUCAAUUUUAAUAAGCAUCAAUCAACAUGAGAUCAAUAAACCAUUCAUCAAUAUAUCAUCAAUAAUCAAAGUGAUCUUUAUUAUCCUCCCUAAAUCAAGAGAAUUCCUAUACCUAAUCAAGAUGUAAGACAAAAAAGAGAUAGAUUGAGAGAUAAUCACAAUCAAGGUAUGCAAGAAAAUAAAAACAUAUCUCUCCUUCAAAGAUACAAGCUUAUUACUCCUUUCUUGUUUUCCUAUGCUGAGUCUCGCCUUCUUGACCUUCAAGACUUCAACUUUUCUUUUCAAGAUGCUCCAUUUUUUCUUCAAGAUCAAUUUGUGGCAACCUUAAGUCCCUCUCUUAAUGGCCGAGCCGUGGGUGUCUCUUUCUUCCUCCAAAAAGCUUUCAAAACUUCACAUUUUCUCCUAUGCAUGUACGAGUCUCCAAAAAUCUGAUUUGUAGUCCCUUUAUGGCGUGAUCUCAUUCCUCCAAGUCUGUAAUGGCAGCCUACCUCUCCUUAAAAUCUUUAAAUGGUCGUGAUAUUUUCCUUAGGCUAAUCUGACACCUGAAUUUUGUUACAAAAUGUAACCUUUUAUUUUAACUUUCCAUAACUUUAAAAAUCAACUUACUUGGACAUCUGUAGCAACAGUUAAGCCCAAAAUACUAAAGCAUGUUCAACAUAUGAUGGGAAAGUUCACCCGAACCUUGUCACAAAAGUUACUCUUUAAUAAAGAUUGAUUUAGGAAAAUUUGUCAACGGAUGAAGUGUAGCCAUUUCCGUUAGCUGUCAUAGCUUAAAAAACCAACUUAUUUGAAUAUUUGUGGCAAAAGUUAUGUCUAAAAUAUUGAAGCUUGUUCAACAUAUGAUGAAAAAGCUCCCCUACUCUCUCUCAAUCUCCUCAAUUUGUGGAUUCCUCCUUAAUGUGGCAGCCGGGUUAUUUUUUCCUCGAAAAUCCCCAACCAUGAGUUCCAAUCAUCAAGAACUCUUAUGGUAGUCCAACCCUCUAAAAAUUCUCUCCUCCAAUGUCAAUUUCCUUCCAAAUCAAAUAUGGUAGCCCAUAUAUAUCUUCUUUCCUUUGGCGUGAAACUUUAUCCUCAGCCAAUAUGGUAGCCCUCUCAAAUAAAAUCUCCAAUCAUGAGUGAUCUUCCUUUCCCUCAAAGUCUCCAAAAUUUUUCCAAUUUGAUCUCUAACUCCCCAAGGUGUGGACUCCUUCCUCCCUUAUCUAAAAUUUCAAUGUUAACCAUACAUAUCACUUCUCAAAUCAAAUUGUCAUGAUCAUAAAGAAUCUUUCCCUCAAUGGCCAAGUCUCCAACCUUUCCUUCUUUCUUCCAAGUGCGUGAAUUUCUCUAUCCAAAAGUUUUAUGGAAAUCCACCUUCCAUCUAAAGUCUCCUAUCUUUCCUAAAAAAGUCUUGUCAAUCUCAAUCUAAAAAGAGUCCUACACUCAAUUCCAACUCAAUAGCCAUGAUGCUAAUGUGUGAAUUCUCCAAGAGUCCUAGCCUUCCUAAAAUCCCAAAAGCCAUUUUCCAAUAAGUUUUCCUUAUUUAAAAUCUCAAAUGCCAAUCUCCAACUCUCCAAACCGUGUACACCUUAGAAAAUCCUUCUCAAUCUCCAAUUUUGAUUUCCUAAACGACUCCAUGCACAUGCCAUGCAAGGUGACGAGAUACUAUACUAAAGUACACCUAAAAAAAAAAAAAACCUAAAAUGCAUCUAGAUAAACUAUUCUAAAAUACACCUAGAUGAACUAACUUAAAAUGUAUUUAAAUUUGAUGAACUAAAUAUGCAUUUAGAUGAACUAUUCUAAAGUGCACCUAAACUAAGAUAUAACUAAGAAAUUUUCUAAAAUGCAACUGAGUUAGGCUAAGUGAACUAAGUGAGUUAAAUUAAGGUGCAUCUAAGUGAGCUAAACUAAGGUGUAUUUAAGUGAGCCAAACUAAAGUGCAUCUAAGUGAACAAAACUAAAGUGUAUCUAAGUGAACUAAGGUAAAGUGUAACUAAGUUAAUGAAGGUAAAAAGCAACUAAGUGAGCUAAACCUAGAAUAUAACUAAAGGUCACAUAUGGGAUCCAUGAAAAUCCCUCAACAACGAGUUUCCAAAGGUGAUGACAAAAAAAAUAAAAUAAAAUAUAAUAAUAAUAAUACCAAAUGAGUGACAAUGAACUACUAUGGGAUGACUAUAAGACAACGAGAAGUGAAGAAAGACAAAAAAUAACAUAUGCUACUAGGACAAAAUGAAGGGUCUAUACUAUCCCACUUGGUCUUAAUUAAUUAUCCCCAUUCGGCUCCAAUUAAGUAAUUAGCUUAAUCUAGAAAGACCAUUCAUAAACUCUUAUGUAAUAUCAUGUUUUUACCAAUACACCCUUAUGUACACAUAUGAAUAAAAACCUAUAAAUCCUUGAAAAUAACAUCUCACUAAGGGAUAUGAGCUCAAGUAAGAACCACUAGGACAAAUAGAAAAAUAUUGGCUCCCCCACAAUCAAAUUCUAAAGCUAACUUAGCAUCUUACCAUAUAGAGUCAACUACACUCCACCAUCUUAUGAAAAUUAUUUCGACAAAUAAAUUAAUUAAAUCUAAUUUAAUUCUCAGGUUCGUGAUCUACUAAUCACUACAUGCAAGGUUCCUACGAAUUGAUAUUUGUAAUCUAAUGAGCUGUAACUACCAUAUUCUCAAGAUUACCUAUACCAUCCUUGAGACUCAAAUCAUCUUAUUAUAUGAUCAACUAAUAUGUUCUAACUCAUUAAGAGCAUGCGUCAAAUUCUACUACAAGAAUUAUUAUGACUAUAAAUUUUAUGAUUAGAAGUCCUUAGGAUCACCCAAGGGAUACAUUGUCUCAAACCCAAAAUAUAUCAUAGUGUCUAUAUUGAAAAUACUUGUUUCCAUUUUCCUUAAACAAUAUUGGUCCAAUUCAUAUAGAACAUAUGAACUUCUCAAGGUUUUGCUUAUAGGUCAAAUCCACUAAAGACCUCAGUAAAGCUCAAUAUUCUCUUAAGAUUGAGAACUCAAGCAACAUAGUAGUUUGGUGAAGUUAUGACUAUAGGUUUCAUACAAUGUGUAACCAUACGCAUUAGUGCACUCACCAUAAAAAACUCAUCCCAAUGACCAAAACAAAUAAUCCAUUUAAUUAGGAGGUUAUGCAUUACAACUUUACAUAGAUUGCUUAAGUCCAUGAACUAGUUAUGAACAACUCAUCAACUUGUAAGUAACUCAUGACUUGAUUUUUUUGUGUAACUCUUAAUACAAUCAAUUCAUCUACAAUACAAGUGAUGCAAACUUAAUUACUUAACAUAAAAAUAAUGCAUAAAUAGAAUAGUAAAUAGAAACCAAAAUCAUAUUAUAAAUAUUAUUAUAAAUAUUAAUGAAAUCAUUUUAUUAUUACAUUAUGUCAUACUUUUAAGGGUUUUAUCCUAACACUUUAUAAACCCUUUAUUAGUACAACAUAUUAAGUCAUUAGACCCACCAUCAAUAUAGUCUCCAACCUCUUUAAACCCACCAUUAGUACAUUGCCCCACCUCUUCAAACCUAUCAUUAGUAUGGUCCCUUACUUAUUCAAACUCACCAUUAGUACAGUUCUGUAUCUCUUUAGAUCCACCAUUAAUACAUCCCCUACCUCUUUAGAUGUAUUAUUAUUACAUCUUACUACCUCUUUAGAUCGACUUUCAGUGCCUCUUAUCUUGUAUGUCAACCCACUUUCAUUAUACAUUGACGCUUUUUUAGCUAUCUCACCCCAUGCAAAUCUUGCAUCCAUGUCAUUAGCCCCAUCCCCAAUACAAAUGUCUAUACCAUCUACCUUAGUACCACUAAAACCAUCCAUACCAUCAACCUUUACCCCAAUUGAGACUAAUACACUAGCUCGUACACUUUCGCAUGGUACAUCUAUAUUUAUGCCUCUUCUUCUAGAGGCCACCACAUGUACUCAAUUGGAUGUAUCCCUAGACAUUUCGAUGGGUGGGUGCAUGCUGCUCCAACCUAGAGUCCUCCCUCCAUCCUUAGUUCCAACUAUUAUAGAUAGAUGUUAAUCACAUCUUAUAGGUAGAUCCACUAGUUGCUACAAUUAGAAAGGGGUGACAAAGAGGAAGAGAGUACUAAUUAGUUAUAAGUUUUUUUCCAUGUGGAAGUAUAUGAGAUUAUGUACUGUUUUUUUAUCCCACUGUAUGAAAGUUUUGUGGGUAUAUUAAUUACUUUGAUAAAGCUUGUAAACAAUAUAUUUCGCAAUAAAAUCUUAUAGUUAAUUUCAUUAACUUUCAUUUUUAUCAUAUAUUGAAUAAUCGACUAUCAUACAAAUCAUUGAGCUCUAUAGUAGUCACACAUGUAUGUGUUCAAAAAACAUCAUUUUAGUUUAAAAUUAUAAAAUAAGUUUAUAAAAAGUUAUAAAAUUAUUUUUAAGCUCAAACUCUUAUUUAAAAAAUGUAUGUUUUAAAAUAGUAAAAAUCUAUAAAUUGAAACUUUAAAUUAAUAUUACUUCAAUAAAGAUAAAAUUUGAAAAAUACCUAAAAUUAUUACCCUAUCAUGAAAUUAAUAAUCUUAAUAAAUAAUUUAAAUAAUAUAACAUUAUAUGAAAAUCUAUAAAGAAAAAAAAAAACAAAAAUAUUUAAACAUGUAACAGUCGUUUUCUACAAUAAUUCAUGACUUUUAACUUAAAAAUAAAACAUUUUUUUUAAAAAAAAAAAGAAAAAAAGAAGAAGCAAAAGCCGCAUGCUAAAUGGUGUUAGUAAAUUUAAACUGAAGCCGCAUUUUUAAAAGUUGAUUUUAAUCUAAUUAAAAAAAGGUUUUAAUCUAAUUAAAAAAAUGAAAUUACAUGACUUUUAGAUGGUAUGCUAUUUUUUGAUCGUUAAGUUUGAGAAUAUGACCAAGGAUAGCACGACUAUCUUUUAUGUAUAUAGUCCAAAACUCUGAAAGCUUUACCUACUUCUAUACCAAAGGGAGCUUGAGUUGAGUGCACUGCAAGUGGAGACCAUCUGAAACCUGGGUCGAUCUGGCCCACGCCACUACAGUUCUAGAAUCACCCACAUAGGCCCAGGCCUACAACAAUGCAACAAAUUCAAAAUGUAAUUUAGCAUACUAGGUGGGGUGACAUUGCACAUCCAAGAAAGCUUGGUCCUUGUCCUAAAAUUCAGUCUGCACUGCACAUGACACAUGACAGAAGAUGAGGUGGAAAGAAAAGAUAGAAAAAGGAAGCUGGCUCGACCGGCCCGACCGGCCCAACUGGGCCACCUGGCCCUUUGACCUUCAAAGUUAGGAAAAGGUCUUAUUCAGACUGGUCCAGCCUCAGCAAAUUUUGAUUUCUACUUAAAAUAUACUAGAAUGAAUAUUCUCAACCAUUUGCAUUUUCCUAGUCAUACCAUUUAUUCUUAAUAUAGUUAGCAAGCUUGAAGUUUCUUAUUCUAUUCUAUUUUUCUGUCCUAAAUAUCGCCUCUGCCCAAAACCCGGUGGGUUAAUAUAAUAAUAAUCAGAAACCGAACUUAGCUAUCAUUAAGAAUGAUGUUGACUAAAGAAGCUGCAAGUGGAUGGUAAUGCAUCUUCCUCAAAUCUGAAUACUAUAUAUAUUUUUUCAACAUUACCUACUAUCCACAAAAGGCGGUGACCAUGAUCAUGACUUCCCUGGUUAUGUUUUUCAACAUUACCCAUAAAAGGCGGUGUCCGUGAUCAUGCCUCCCCUGGUUAUGGUUAUGGAUUGUUCUUCUAAAAAUAUUAGCAUGUAAGAAGAAGACUCAUUAUGUGAAAACUGAUAUUUUUUUAUUAUUUAAUCUUCAUCUCACGUUAUAAUAAGUGGGUAAUGAAGUGGGCAUCAUAAUGAAUAGUCGUCUUGGGAUGCAAAUAUGAGUUAACCUAAUAAAAGCCAUAUUCGUGAGAACAAGAUUGAUAGACCGUGUUUACAAAAACACCACCAAGAAGUUUAAUCAUCAGAUCAUAUUCAUAAUAAUACGAAUAGAAAAUCGUAUUCUUAUAAAUUCAAUAAUAUAGUUUUAGAGAAUAUUCCACUGUUAUAAACGGUUAUAAUUUUGACCUAUCAGAAGAAGAUGAUAUAUAGACUUACGAUGAAAGAUAAAAACUAAAGAAUAUUUUAAAGAAACCUUAAUGUUAUUAAAUUUAAAUAUUUUCUAGUGCAAGUACAUUUAAAUAAAAUGAAGAAAUUAUUUUUAUGGACCCAAGAAAUUAUUGUGCCAAGUAUAAAGCAUAAAAGUUAGAACGACAUAGAAUCAAAAGAAAAAUCUAGAAAAAGAAAAGUAGAGAGGAAACAUCGCGGAACCAACCUAGAUAUUAUCUUGUUUGACAAGAGAUUAUUGUGCCAUCCGACUUUUAACACAUUGGUUGAUACUAUUCUAAAUGCUUCAGGACCCUUUUACCACUUUACCCAUCAAUAAAUGCUAAUCGUAUAUACGAAGACCUUGUCUUAAUAUUUCACAUCUAACCAUGGUUUAGCAGGUAAACAUAUGGUUAAGAAAAUUAGAGAAUAGGUGGUGCCCCAUCCAAAAAAUCAACCAACCCACAAUUUACAAUUUACCGUCCAAAAAUAAUGGCAAUAAAUUACAACAUAAAAUAUGGAAAAUUUAAACGGAUAUAUUCGUAGUUGAGCGUGAACCUAAGCGGCAUAAUGCGUAUAUAAAAUUGACCGCGCACAUGGUCGGAACACGACAAUGGGAAAUCAAAACAGAAAACAAAACAUGACAGCGAAUGCGUGAUCUACACGGUGUCGAUACCCAGAGGGCCACACCUAACCCUAUCAUUUGCCAGCCAUGCUCCACUGUGGAUUCCCUACUUGCCCAUCACACGCCACCAUCGCACCCAGCAAUGAUCCGCCGCCUCCACCUUCACCUCCACCUCACCACCAUACAACCCAUGUGGAACAACACUUACGAGAAAAGUAAAAUCAUAGAAUUGAUCGAGGAGUAGGCUGGUGGGUUUGAUAAGGGCUUGAAAGCUCAUGAGAAAUGUGUUUGGGGUGAGCCUCAUACUCGCUUAAAUGUUUGACCAACUCCCUCACGUGUUUGUUAAUGUCACUAAAAUUUGGAAUUGAGAUAUAUAGUCAAGCAGAAAGUUCCCGAGUGGUGGAUACGCAAGGCCUUAAUGGGAGGCUUUGUUUUCAUGGUCCCUACUAUCGUGUUAAGUUUUCAUAUUUGAGGCAGGAGAAUUCUUUUCUUGGGAUUGCUUUUGCGUGGAAAGCCCAUAGGAUGCUUCAUUCUUCAUUUCUCCAUUCCUUUCCUUCUUUGUCUUGCCCUUUGUCUCCGGGGGGUUCACCCCCUUGCUUCUCAAAGCACGGGUGGUACCUAAUAGUAGCCAAGCAGCCAACUAAGAAUCAGUCACAAAAUUCCAACACUACAUACCCAGUGAAAAAUGCCAUCCGUCGCACAGGAUGUUUGGUAGCAUUCGAUUUAAUGCAAUUUUGUAAUAUUUUAAAAAAUUUAAGUUUGGUGAAUGGAGCCCGCAUGAAUAAUGUAUGUUUAGCAUCUUUCUUAAUAUUUAUGCUGGAAAUUGCAGGUACACCCAACAAAGGGAAAGAACUAAAUGAGAGUGUCCAUUAUGGAAAGACAUUUCCCUUCCAAAGCACAUCAUCACUUAAAAAAACUUCCGUCUUCAAAUCAUAGUCAGAAAUAAUUGGCAGUUAGAACUAGCACCUCGAGUCCUAAAGGUCUCUGUUUUCUUCUACAACACAUCUUAUUUAAAUACACAGCUCACAUUUUUUUUUUAAUUUAUUGACAUAUGUCACUGUUAAUUUUCCCGAAAGUGUAUGAUUAAUUAGUUAAAAAACUCAAAUUUCUGGCAUGGGUAGUUAUGAAGACGACAAGCUGACACUUGUCCCAUCUUUGCCCUCACUCAUCGCCACCCAACCGGAAAGUUCAAUACACGCGUUGCAACGAGGUGGUACAAAUUCAGCCCCAUCAUUCCAGCGAAGAGAAAGGACUGGGAAAAGGUUGGGAGAAAAAAGAAAGGAAAAAAGUGUAAGGGUGAGCGGCAGCCAUAAACGCGUCCUCUCACUCUCUCUGACACGUUUGACAAACCACACUUUAGAUAUCCAGGACCAUAUCACCAUGAAACUAGCGAAAACCCCCCUCUGUCGGCACCAGAUCUACUCCGACUCCUCAGCUUCCUCUCAAAACUUCCCCUCCAAAUUCUCUGUACUUUACCUUAAGCUUCCGUUCCACCAAUUCAUGGACUCUGAACAGCGCCGCAAGCGCAAACGCAGUCUCAGAGCUUCGCCUUCCCCUCACUCACACUGCGGGUUCUCGGCUAGAUCUCUCAUCUUAUGUCUCUCCUUUAUUUUCCUUCUCUUGUUGCUGCAUCGGUUCCCAAUCGGCACGGCGUCGUUUCGUCCAGUUGUGAUAGUUUCUACUCUCUCGCUCUUGUCUUCAUCCACCAGCAAUUCUAUCCGCGAUUAUGUUAGCAGUAGAUUAUUGUUACCGUUGAGAGUAGAGGACCGAGUCCUGUUUCCCGAUCAUGUUUUGCUGAUGGUUUCCCACAUUAACGAUAGAAGUGAGGUGCUGGAGUGUGUUUACUGCAAGGAUAUUGGAGUGGAGGCGGCGAAUAAAUUAAUUGUUAGGCCUGUGUUGUCCGUGGAUGAACUGGAUGAGCUCAGAUGGGUUGCGAGGUGUCCCCUUCCGCCCCAGAAUUACUCUGCUGAGGUUAAUCUGCGUAGACCGCCAAGGAAAGAGAGCAUCGUGGAUGGAGAUGAGUGGCUGCGGAGGGUUCAUCCCACAGUUCAUUCGUGGGAGAUGAUGGCAUAUGCGGCAGCUUUGGAUCGAGAUUCCGCGGUUGUGUUUGUCAAGGGAUUGAACCUAAGGCCGGAUAGGGAAUCAGAUCCCAGGCAAUUCAGUUGCCAUUUUGGAACGGGUGAUCGGGAGAGGGGUGGAAAAUUUGCGCUCACUACUAGGGCGUUUUCAGCUGCACAGGAGGUUAUUAGGUGUUCUUUGCCUAGGAGCAUUAGGAUGAACCCGAGUAAGGCUCAUGGGAUUAGGGUUACUGUAGGCUUGAAUUCUCAUUUCCAUGCCAAUGCCAGAGCUUCUAAUCAUGUUCUAGUACCUUCUGUGGCUAAGAUGUCAAGUCCCAAGUCAUACAAUUCCUACAAGCAUAAGAAAAAUCAGGGGAAGUAUCAGCUUUGCGUGUGCACCAUGGUAUGGAACCAAGCUUCUUCAUUACGGGAGUGGAUUAUGUACCAUGCCUGGCUUGGUGUUGAGCGCUGGUUCAUCUAUGAUAAUAACAGUGAUGAUAGAACUAAGGAGGUGAUUCAAGAGCUUGAAUUAGAAGAUUACAAUGUCACCAGGCACACCUGGCCAUGGAUUAAAACACAAGAAGCUGGUUUCUCGCACUGUGCUCUCAGAGCAAGAGAUGAAUGCAAUUGGGUGGGAUUCAUGGAUGUCGAUGAGUUCUUCUAUUUCCCAUUUCCAACCCACCGCCGAGGAUCCAAUAAACUGAUUUUUCGUGGUCAGAAUUCAUUGCGUACAUUGGUUGCAAAUUUUUCUUCAACAACCAUUGGGGAGAUCAGAACAGCUUGCCACAGCUAUGGGCCAUCUGGGUUGAAUUCCCUCCCUUCUCAAGGGGUAACUGUAGGGUACACUUGCAGGCUACAGAGCCCUGAGCGGCACAAGUCUAUUGUGCGCCCAGAUGUGCUUGACAGAACUCUUCUCAAUGUGGUGCACCACUUUCGGCUGAGAAAGGGAUUCAAGUACCUGAAUUUGCCUCAAAGCACAGGAGUGAUAAACCAUUAUAAGUAUCAGGUGUGGGAGGCUUUUAGAGCAAAGUUCUUCAGAAGGGUUGCGACCUAUGUUGCAGAUUGGCAAGAGAAGGAGAAUGAAGGGUCAAAGGAUAGAGCGCCUGGUUUGGGGACAGAAGCCAUUGAACCACCCAAGUGGCCACUACAGUUUUGCGAAGUUUGGGACACUGGUUUGAGGGACUUUGUUUUGGCUAACUUGGCUGAUCCUACCACUGGGUUGCUGCCCUGGGAAAGGUCUCUUCUCUAACAAGUUAAAUUGGGGUGGUUGCAGCUUCCCUGCCCUUGUAAACAAAUCCAUCACACGUACAACAAUUCUUUCUUUUUAUUUCUUAGCAUUUUUGUAUCUGAUGUUUUAUUUUUGAUAGAAUGAAUUCAAAAGAGGCCAUAGAUGAAUAUAGGGUUCUUACAUGUAAUUUCCAACAAUGUGACACAAUUUCUUUUAUUGUUAUGUUUAUUGAAUGAUUUAUUGAUUCACCUUUUAUCUUUGUUUAUUUUAUGUUAAAUUCGCAGUGCCUGCAGCAAAAGUUUGAUGAUGUGAAUUUGAAUUUGGUUUGAUUCAUACGCAAUUGAAUAGGCCUUAAGGGGAAAGGUUAGAAGCAAAUUGGAUAAACAGAGGAUUCUAUUAGUGACAGAAAGGAUGAUAUAAUCUUGCACACUUAAUCCCACAUAAUCCACAUAAUAAGUGAAGCAUGUGGAGUAGUAAAAAGACAACAUAAUGAAAUAGGUAAACAAUCAAGUUCAGCAAGGUAGCUUUCUAAAUGCAAAGGAAAGCAAAGCUGUCAAAGCACAUUCCUCAUAACUAAAACCAGAAUCAGAUGUCCUUUUCUGUUAUACAAUUGCUUUCUGACAUACUACUGCAACAUCACGGGACAUCCAUAUUUAGAUCAUUUCAACCACAAGAUAAACAAAAACAACAUAUCCAACUUACAUAAACAUCUAAGAGAACUUGGACAAAGUUCGGUUCUGAAUUUAACAAAAAUAUAAUCUACACCUGAUGUGGCAAUCUAUAUUCAUGUGAAAGAUAAAAUGCAAUUGAAAUUUCAUUUGGUACCAAUCUGAGUCUAGUGUUUCAAUCCAAAGCCCUAUCUUUUAGGCAUAUUGUUCAGUAUUAUCCAUUCUCAUCUAUAAUACAUUAAGGAAACUAAUGAAACGAGUAAAAGGACCAUGUGACUAUUGGAUAUUAUAUCCAAGCACAACAUCAUCAAAAUUUAAAGAUUAGAUGUUGCAGUAAAAAUAUUAUCUCAGAUGUUUCUUAGUUUUCAGCAUACUGACACUGGACAAAAAGGAAACAAUGGAACACAAAAUCUUUAAAUGAAGUUAGAGCCAUAUGCUGACUCGUUAGUGGGUAACAUCUUAACAAGGAAAUAUCAGAUCCUUGAAACAGAACGUGGAAGAUCAAGCCAGAUACACAAUGCGUGUACCAGUCAUGGUUAAAUUCCUUGUUUAGUUCCUCUUUACUCAUUUAUUUAAUUUUAAUGGUGGAUGAAUUUAAACCAUGCAUAACCUUAAUCAGAGGCAUAUUUUAAUAACUUGACAUCAAUGUUCAGAAGUCAGAGGCCUAAGCAUCUACAGAAUUUGGACAUUUGACAUACAUCAACCAACUUAUUUACUAUGUUUCAGGCUAGUAACACUAUGAUGUGUUGCCAUUUGGUGCCACUACAAGUGUCAUCAUAAAGGACAGAAAUACCAAGUUGCCAACAUUUAAUUACAAUUACAGGUUUUAGCACUUAUAUAUUCUUAUUUUAUUAUAUUGAGUGAAUAAAUAAUGGAAUUUAAUAAUCUAAUAUACAUGUGUUCUUGUAAUUCUUCUACUACUAAGAUUACCAUUGUUACCAUUAUAGUUAUUAUUAUCAUUACUAAUUUCACCUUUUAUGAACUUAUAAGGUUGCUGGUCUACUCAUGUUACAGUUAUCAUGUGAACAUAUAAGGAACAAUAAAUUUGAGCUUUCAUGACUGUACAACCAAAAAUAUGUCAGAUUGCAACUUCUCUUUCUCCUAAAUAAUAGAGUCAGCAUAUAAACAGAGCAUUAAGGAAAAGGCCAAUGAAAAGAGAAUCUUUACUAAGUAGUUGAUAGAGGAUAAUCUGUCAAAAAAGAGAAGUGUCUAUCCAGAGAGGCAAGGUAGAUAGGCAGUAUGCUUUUCAGAUCAUUGGCACACCACAACAUGUGCUUAUAAUCAUUCUACUUCCAUAUAACAUCUUAACAUAUGUAUCAAAAAGUAAUUUCUAACUGAUAGAACCCAAUGAAAUGAGGCAUAAUCUCAUCCGACAACCCAAAAGAUGGAGGGGGAAAAACUGGUGGAUUAAUUCAAGGUCAUUGAAGGGUUUUUUUAAGGUUGUCUAAAACAAUAGGACAUAUCACAGGGAGAGUUCAUUCACAUGAAAGUGAGAUAAAAUGCAUAGCAAAGUAGAAUGUGCGCCUACCAUCUGAAAGCACUUGAAAUAUUCAGGAUACAGAAUUUCUGGCAGCCAAUAAAAAUCUCAUUAUGAACUCAUAAAAGCAUGAAUUCUCUCUCCCUCCCUCUCUCUCUCUCUCUCUCUCUCUUUCUCUUAUAUAUAUAUAGCCUUGAUUAAGGCCACCAAGGAGGUUAUGCAUGCAUGAAAACAUGAACUCACAGUUUGAUAAAUUUCAAACUGUCUUGCACUGCCUAUACACAUACAUACACACACACACCCCUGGAUUGCAGGCUACAAAAAGUGUAAUUUAUACAGUUACCCAGGAACUCACAGUUCGAUAAGUUUCACACCCUGUCUUGCACUGCCACUGGGAGGUUAUUUACAUAUUUUGAAAGUGAAGCAUCCACUUUCUCUCCAAUUAAUGUUAUCCAUGCCUGCAAACAAUGAAAUAUAAGAAUUUGAAAAGCGUUAAAAAUGAUGGUUGAAAUUAACUACAAUGACAGGAAAAAAAAAAAUCUGUAUUUGAUCAUAUAUUGAUGUUAUUCGGUUCAUCAAGUCACUUCAUAAUUGUUUAAUGAAUAUAACUUUUGGUGUGAGCUAAUUGUCUUGUGUAUCAUAGACAGAUCAAAGACCCAAAGAAUGUUGAUUCAAUUUCUUUACAUUACAGGCCUGAAAAGAUCUAUCUUGGUAGAAUAAGUAAAGACAAUUGUUUCAGCCCUAAGGAGGAUUAAAAAUAAAAAGUAAAAAAUAACAAGAUGCACAAUAAAUACUACUAUGCAGUAAACCAUGCAAAACUGGUUUCUAGUACUAAGGCCUAAAGAACAGUUGAACAUGGACCGCAUGGAAUUUCUGCUGAGUGGUAAGUACAUGCAAUAGACAAAUAGCAAGUUUGUAAGGCAACAAGAAAGGCAUAAAUUUUGCUUUAAAUAUUCAGUCAGAAAAUACUAGUCCAAACUCCAAACAUAUUAAAAAACAGGAUAUAAAUCAAAAGCCUUUAGUUCCACAUCUCAUGAAAAGAUAAAUCUAAUAACAAUACAUAAUAUCUUGGAAACAACUUGGUUCUCAAAAAUAGUUAGUUUUGAUCAUAUAUCUAAAAUUUUGAAAGCUAAGAAAGAG